ACACUGCCACCUAUUGGCACGGUGGUAGUUAUGACAUUGUGUUUACGGAACUACACAGAGUGAUGCGGGAAGCGCAGUGACUGUUAUCCUGAGACCAAUGCGAUUGACAUACCACUGCUGUACUGUGUUACAGGUAAUAUCCUAUGCAUUUCUGUGUUAGUUUUCAAUAUGUUUCAUUGCAAUUAUUGUUCGUCCGCAUGAGCAGCUCUUUCUAACUGUUAAGUAGCUCACGCUAGUUUGGCUAGCUCAUAGUUAGUGAAGCAGCCUGUUGAUUAGGUGUGUAUGACGUAUACCUGUGCUGUGUUUAUGCUCACCUCAUGUUAAACGGCGAAUGGGUUUUCUGCCUUUUUCUUAUAUUAUAAAAUGGAUUACUGUGUGGUGUUUUCACCAAUAUAAUGUCAGUACAUAUGGAGGUAUAUUUGAUUGUGCAAAUGUGAAUACAUUGUAGCCUAAGCAUUGUACUGUAUUAUAAUACAUUAGGUAAUAUCCACUAUACGAUCACAUCCAGUUAGUAUAAUUUCUUUUGUUAUUAUUAUUAUUAUUUUUGUGAUGAGAUCACA
This is a long non-coding RNA of Perca fluviatilis (European perch), 560 nucleotides long. RefSeq lists it as uncharacterized. NCBI's taxonomy places the organism in Eukaryota, Metazoa, Chordata, Actinopteri, Perciformes, Percidae. The transcript is spliced from 2 exons. The record is from RefSeq and is a predicted model, not a curated record.